RNAcentral lists this small RNA (511 nucleotides) under Microascus hyalinus. RNAcentral's name for it is "eukaryotic LSU rRNA". It matches the Rfam family "Eukaryotic large subunit ribosomal RNA", at positions 50 to 565 of the family's 3401-position model. The record is from RNAcentral. Lineage: Eukaryota; Fungi; Ascomycota; Sordariomycetes; Microascales; Microascaceae.
GCGGAGGAAAAGAAACCAACAGGGAUUGCCCCAGUAACGGCGAGUGAAGCGGCAACAGCUCAAAUUUGAAAUCUGGUCCCCUUGCGGGGCCCGAGUUGUAAUUUGAAGAGGAUGCUUCUGGCAAGGUGCCUUCCGAGUUCCCUGGAACGGGACGCCGCAGAGGGUGAGAGCCCCGUACGGUCGGACGCCGAGCCUAUGUGAAGCUCCUUCGACGAGUCGAGUAGUUUGGGAAUGCUGCUCAAAAUGGGAGGUAAACCCCUUCUAAAGCUAAAUACCGGCCAGAGACCGAUAGCGCACAAGUAGAGUGAUCGAAAGAUGAAAAGCACUUUGAAAAGAGAGUUAAAAAGCACGUGAAAUUGUUGAAAGGGAAGCGCUUGCGACCAGACUCGCGCCCGCCGGAUCAGCCGUCGCUUGUCGGCGGCGCACUCCGGCGGGCUCGGGCCAGCAUCAGUUCGCCUCGGGGGGAGAAAGGCGGCAGGAAUGUGGCUCUUCGGAGUGUUAUAGCCUGCCG